Long non-coding RNA from Podarcis raffonei (Aeolian wall lizard), 1161 nucleotides. RefSeq lists it as uncharacterized. The transcript is spliced from 3 exons. The record is from RefSeq and is a predicted model, not a curated record. Lineage: Eukaryota; Metazoa; Chordata; Lepidosauria; Squamata; Lacertidae.
AAACUUGGGCUAAGCCCUUUUAUAAACAGUUUGCUGAGAUGAUGCCUCCGCUGGGGAAAUGGAAGUUGGCAAGUGGACAGCAUCCCAUCUGAUGAUUGGUGGAGGAUUGAGUCAAAUGCAAAGGCAAGAGAUGGGUGACGGACUGGCUUAGAGAAAUCGUGAGGGCAUGAGAGGAAGGCCCCUUUCACUCGGAUCAAUCUUCUACCUGUAGGGGUAAAGAAAUCUCUAAGUUUGGGUUUUUCAUUUUUGCAACCUUAAAUUUGGUUCUCCACAUUUCCACAUCAGUUUUUUUUUGGGGGGAGGAAUUACAUCUGCACGAAAAUUCAUCAUCCUCAUAUUCAUGUUUGUAUGUGAUUUUGCCUAAUAUGCACAUCUUGCAAAAGGACUUUCCCUAAUAUAAUGCAUGCCAAUGUUUGUUUGUUUUAACCAAUAUAUACAUUUUUAUGCACCUUAAGCCUAGUAUGUGCCUUUUUCCUUUUACACAUUGCUUGGCUGGAAAAUUGUAUUGCGAAAUUUGAAGAAAUGUGCAUUUUGAUGGAUAGCUGUCCUUUGUGUACGUAUUGUUUCAGAAAGUGCUAUUUAGGUAUAUUUGACUUUAAAUGUGACUGAUCCUAACUCCUCCAUAUCUACCCGGAGGUCCUCCAGUGGAUUUUGUUAAGGAUGAAUUUAAUUCAGUGCCUGCCCUUUCCAUCCUUCCAUGAAGAAACCACCCAAGCAAAUUAUGUUUGCCAAUUGGUUUCAUACCUUCUGCCAAAAAGCACUUCAGCAGUCAUUCGGGGAUCUAUGCCAGGUGCUUUUUCUUAGCUUUGCUUGUCCACCUUAGUGAAUUCAUCCACAGCAAAUGAACAGCAAUUGAUGGAAAGAUCAAUUGGAGUAGGAGGGAUACUCUUGUUAGAGUAAUUCUCUAAUGUCACAUUGUGCAGUCCUUCAGAAUAUUGCCUCCAUUGUAGAAAUGAUUCAAUCGCAUUCAGUACUGGGCCAGCAUCUUUUCCACUCACCUUUGCUUCUUCCUGUUUGUUUGUUUUUUAAUGCUUGAUUCCUUUUAUCUUUCACUUUAUUUAGCCAAUUUCUUUAAAUCACUUUUAUAACAGCAUACAAGCGUGUAAAAAGGAAACGGCAACAUAAAAUGAAUUAAAACAUAAACAUGAAAUCUCACUGACU